CUGGUAGUCCACGCCGUAAACGAUGUCGACUUGGAGGUUGUUCCCUUGAGGAGUGGCUUCCGGAGCUAACGCGUUAAGUCGACCGCCUGGGGAGUACGGCCGCAAGGUUAAAACUCAAAUGAAUUGACGGGGGCCCGCACAAGCGGUGGAGCAUGUGGUUUAAUUCGAUGCAACGCGAAGAACCUUACCUACUCUUGACAUCCACGGAAUUUGGCAGAGAUGCMUURGUGCCUUCGGGAACCGUGAGACAGGUGCUGCAUGGCUGUCGUCAGCUCGUGUUGUGAAAUGUUGGGUUAAGUCCCGCAACGAGCGCAACCCUUAUCCUUUGUUGCCAGCGAUUCGGUCGGGAACUCAAAGGAGACUGCCGGUGAUAAACCGGAGGAAGGUGGGGAUGACGUCAAGUCAUCAUGGCCCUUACGAGUAGGGCUACACACGUGCUACAAUGGCGCAUACAAAGAGAAGCGACCUCGCGAGAGCAAGCGGACCUCACAAAGUGCGUCGUAGUCCGGAUCGGAGUCUGCAACUCGACUCCGUGAAGUCGGAAUCGCUAGUAAUCGUGGAUCAGAAUGCCACGGUGAAUACGUUCCCGGGCCUUGUACACACCGCCCGUCACACCAUGGGAGUGGGUUGCAAAAGAAGUAGGUAGCUUAACCUUCGGGAGGGCGCUUACCACUUUGUGAUUCAUGACUGGGGUGAAGU
This 699-nucleotide ribosomal RNA is filed under the name Pantoea agglomerans. Its description in RNAcentral is "bacterial SSU rRNA". It matches the Rfam family "Bacterial small subunit ribosomal RNA", at positions 787 to 1486 of the family's 1533-position model. The record is from RNAcentral. Lineage: Bacteria; Pseudomonadati; Pseudomonadota; Gammaproteobacteria; Enterobacterales; Erwiniaceae.